UUUAUAGGCAAACCUGCUGAAAAGUAGGGACGCAAAGCCAAAAGGGGCUAAAGCCAGAAAGUUUGACCAAGUCAGCCGGUUGCCA
RNAcentral lists this non-coding RNA (85 nucleotides) under uncultured Anaerostipes sp. Its description in RNAcentral is "Cyclic di-GMP-I riboswitch". It matches the Rfam family "c-di-GMP-I riboswitch aptamer". From Rfam's summary of the family: GEMM was predicted in a large-scale screen for bacterial structured RNA regulatory elements. Genes associated with GEMM are involved in a diverse array of functions, including chemotaxis regulation, signal transduction, secretion and chitin. Lineage: Bacteria; Bacillati; Bacillota; Clostridia; Lachnospirales; Lachnospiraceae. The record is from RNAcentral.